CCAUUUUGUCAUUUUAUGUUCCUUAGUCCACGUUUACCAUUCUGCUGAUUUCCUAUUUUCUUCCUUGGUUUCGCAGCCUUGGCACAUUGCUCGCUCGGUCCCUCUGACCUGUCGAGGUCACCGGCUGACCGUAGCCUGGGGCAGGGCCCAGGAAUGUAGCUGCGCCGUCGCGACCGCAGGGUCAGAAAAGUAGUAACUGGAAACUGUGAUAUUUGACUCGUUAAUGUGUAUGUUAUGCCCAAUAAUGUGCUCAGGAUUGUAAAAUGUAUUGUUUGAUGCGAGUAGGGAUCUCCUGGACAUUUAAGUUGCGAAUAUGAUAGCUGACGCGGAUGAACAUUUCUGAAUAUGGGCGGUGCCCGGCGCCCCGGCGCUGGUCGGGGGCGCGGCGCGGGUCAGUUGAGCCCCGUUGAGGCUGGUGGUAUGUGGUGGUGUCUGCGCCAGAGCCGGUGAGUCGCACAGGAAAAAUGACUGUUAACUCGUAAUAUUUAUGGAAUAUGUAACCGUAAUUAGGGCGAAUAUUUACUGUGUAUGAAACCAAUAUUGAAUGUUAUAUGAAUUGCCUGCAGAUAUUUAUUACCGGUCAUUUAUAUGUGGAUAAAUAAGGUGAAGGCUGACACUCGUCUCGGAUUUAUAGCCAUUUACCAAGACCGUGAGGCUGGUCGUCUAAUGUGCCUCUGGAGACGUGUGCCUCUGGUUUCGUUAGCCGAUAAGCGACUCAGGGAGCACAUUUGUCGCAACGAUUGCGUGCGGAGGGCCACACGGUCCAAUACACCGAUCCGUGACG
This 784-nucleotide long non-coding RNA is filed under the name Amphibalanus amphitrite. Its description in RNAcentral is "uncharacterized LOC122366793, transcript variant X1". The record is from RNAcentral. Lineage: Eukaryota; Metazoa; Arthropoda; Thecostraca; Balanomorpha; Balanidae.